UACGGAGGGGGCUAGCGUUGCUCGGAAUUACUGGGCGUAAAGGGAGCGUAGGCGGACAUUUAAGUCAGGGGUGAAAUCCCAGAGCUCAACUCUGGAACUGCCUUUGAUACUGGGUGUCUUGAGUGUGAGAGAGGUAUGUGGAACUCCGAGUGUAGAGGUGAAAUUCGUAGAUAUUCGGAAGAACACCAGUGGCGAAGGCGACAUACUGGCUCAUUACUGACGCUGAGGCUCGAAAGCGUGGGGAGCAAACAGG
Molecule: ribosomal RNA, 253 nt
Filed under: uncultured bacterium
Lineage: Bacteria
Description: partial 16S ribosomal RNA
Rfam family: Bacterial small subunit ribosomal RNA
Source: RNAcentral